CUCCAGACUCCUACGGGAGGCAGCAGUGGGGAAUAUUGCACAAUGGGGGAAACCCUGAUGCAGCAACGCCGCGUGAGUGAGGAAGUAUUUCGGUAUGUAAAGCUCUAUCAGCAGGGAAUAGAAAAGAAGGUACCUGAAAAAGAAGCCCCGGCUAACUACGUGCCAGCAGCCGCGGUAAUACGUAGGGAGUGAGCGUUGUCCGGAAUUACUGGGCGUAAAGGGCGCGUAGGCGGGAACUUAAGUUAGAUGUGAAAACUCCGGGCUCAACCUGGAGACUGCAUUUAAAACUGGGUUUCUUGAGGGCAGGAGAGGAAAGUGGAAUUCCUAGUGUAGUGGUGAAAUGCGUAGAUAUUAGGAGGAACACCAGUGGCGAAGGCGACUUUCUGGACUGUACCUGACGCUGAGGCGCGAAAGCAUGGGGAGCGAACAGGAUUAGAUACCCCGGUAAGU
Molecule: ribosomal RNA, 450 nt
Filed under: uncultured bacterium
Lineage: Bacteria
Description: partial 16S ribosomal RNA
Rfam family: Bacterial small subunit ribosomal RNA
Source: RNAcentral